CGAGGAUUUGUGCUCGUAUUGGAGGUAUAACCUGAGGUCGUCGUCAGUGGUCGUUGGAGGUGGUUAGCGGUGGUUGGAGGUGGUCGAAGGUGGACGAGGAGGUGGACGAGGAUGACGAGGAGAACAAGGUGGAUGAGGAGAAUAAGGAUUUGUGCUUGGUAUAACCCGCAGUGGUGAGCGGUGGUUAGCGGUGGUCACUGGAGGUGGUUGGAGAUGGUCGGAGAUGGUCGGACGUAGUUGGCGGUCAUAGUACGUGGCUGAAGAACUAGGAGAAGGCGGAGGAGGAGGACCAAGUAGGAGUAGGAGUAAGUGUGGGAGUAGGAGUAGGAGUGUUAGAAAUUGGAGUAGAAGUAGAAGUAGAAGUAGAAGUUCGAAUUCAAAUAGGAGUAGGACUAGGAGUAAGAGUAGGAGUAGGAGUAGAAGUAGGAGUAGGAGUAGGAGUAGUAGUUGUACUUGUACUUCUACUCCUGAUCCCACUCCUGAUCCUACUUGUGAGCCUACUCCCACUCCUACUCUUGAUCAUGAUCCUACUCCUACUCCAUUAAAUAUUAUAAAAAUGUUAUACUCACAGUGCACAAAUCCUCCUCCUCCUUGUCCUCCGCCUCGUCCACUUCGAUCACCUGCAACCAUCGCCAACCACCUCCAGCGACCACUGACGACGACCUCAGGUUAUACCUUGAAUAGUAAUGAAUAUUUUCAGUACAAGAACACAUCAAAAAUAUUGUGAUCUCAGAAAACGCAGCGAAAACAGCGUGG
RNAcentral lists this long non-coding RNA (756 nucleotides) under Neodiprion lecontei (redheaded pine sawfly). RNAcentral describes it as "uncharacterized LOC124294256, transcript variant X2". Lineage: Eukaryota; Metazoa; Arthropoda; Insecta; Hymenoptera; Diprionidae. The record is from RNAcentral.